CUGCGUGAGCGGAACGAAAACAAAAACACCUAAAAUGUGGAAUAUAGCAUAUAGUCGACAAGAGAAAUCUACGAAAAACAAACAAAACUUUCAACAACGGAUCUCUUGGUUCUCGCAUCGAUGAAGAGCGCAGCGAAAUGCGAUACCUAGUGUGAAUUGCAGCCAUCGUGAAUCAUCGAGUUCUUGAACGCACAUUGCGCCCCUCGGCAUUCCGGGGGGCAUGCCUGUUUGAGCGUCGUUUCCAUCUUGCGCGUGCGCAGAGUUGGGGGAGCGGAGCGGACGACGUGUAAAGAGCGUCGGAGCUGCGACUCGCCUGAAAGGGAGCGAAGCUGGCCGAGCGAACUAGACUUUUUUUCAGGGACGCUUGGCGGCCGAGAGCGAGUGUUGCGAGACAACAAAAAGCUCGACCUCAAAUCAGGUAGGAAUACCCGCUGAACUUAAGCAUAUCAAUAAGCGGAG
Molecule: ribosomal RNA, 459 nt
Filed under: Pichia kudriavzevii
Lineage: Eukaryota; Fungi; Ascomycota; Pichiomycetes; Pichiales; Pichiaceae
Description: eukaryotic LSU rRNA
Rfam family: 5.8S ribosomal RNA (bases 86-238)
Source: RNAcentral